Molecule: non-coding RNA, 72 nt
Organism: Phrynosoma platyrhinos (Desert horned lizard)
Lineage: Eukaryota; Metazoa; Chordata; Lepidosauria; Squamata; Phrynosomatidae
Source: the annotation of a GenBank genome assembly
GCCAGCAUGGUGUAGUGGUUUGAACGUUGGACUAUGACUCUGGAGAUCAGGGUUCGAUUCCUCACUUGGGCU